Molecule: ribosomal RNA, 1416 nt
Filed under: Triticum aestivum (bread wheat)
Lineage: Eukaryota; Viridiplantae; Streptophyta; Magnoliopsida; Poales; Poaceae
Description: partial small subunit ribosomal RNA
Source: RNAcentral
AUGCAUGGUUUGGAACUCCUUAAAAAAGGAUGUAUUUGGCGCAUCUGCAACGGAAAUAGUGUUCGCAUUUGGAGAGACAAUUGGAUCCCGAGAGGAAACAUGAAAAUAAACAUGAACCCAACAAGGUCCCGAACUCGGUGGGUAGCAGACCUCAUCGACCAGGAGAGUCACGCUUGGAAGGAGGACUACAUCAUGCGUAUAUUUACACGCAAAGACGCAAAUGAUAUUUUAAGUAUCCGACUACCAAAUUAUGAUGAUGAGGAUUAUAUUGUGUGGCAGCCCGAAAAAAAUGGAAUUUUCAGUGUUCGUAGCGCAUAUCGGUUAGCCAUGGACGAAAAGGGUUCUGGGGUGAUUGGGUCCAGCCACAAUACCCAAGGAGAUCGCAGUAUUUGGAAUAAUAUCUGGAAGACAAAUGUACCCCAAAAAGUACGUAUUUUUACAUGGAGACUAGCAUCGGAGUCACUGGCGGUUCAAACUAAUAGAUUUCGUCGCAUCCCAGGCCUCACCCCGAUUUGUAAUGUAUGUGGGGCCGAGGAUGAGACAGGCUUCCAUAUGGCACAUCGAUGCACAUUUGCAAGGGCCUUGUGGCACGAACUCAAGGAGGCAUGGAACCUGCCCCCUGAGCAGGAAGUACAAUAUACUGGAAGGGAUUGGGUCCUAAUCUUGCUAGAUAAGGUGAGUGAAGAUAUGAAACAAAAAUUUAUGCUAUUUUGGUGGCGUGUUUGGCACCAUAGAAAUGACGCGAUCUUCGCAAAAGGUAAAGCGAAAAUUUCCCACUCUGCUCGUUUUCUGCAAAACUACCUUGCAAACAUCCGCUUGAUUGCGGAGGGAACUUCUGAGAUAGAUCGAAAAGGGAAAAGUCCGAUGGUUAACUUGCCAUCAGUGCAACAACAUGAUCAUACAAAGGAAAAAGGAUGGACAAUGCCAGAGCUCGGAUGGGCUAAGGUCAAUGUUGAUGGAAGUUUUUUGGAGGAAAAUAGGAGCGGAGCCUGGGAAGCUGUGAUUCGAGAUCAUGAUGGAAGAAUUAUCUUAUCAGCUUGGGAUUAUAUACCGCGGUGCAAUGGAGCGGACUGCGCGGAAGCCAUGGCUUGCCUAGAAGGACUAAGGAUGGCAAUGUCGGGGACGAAUCUACCCUUAAUCAUCGAGACAGAUUGCAACUCGGUGACAAAGGCGCUUAUCCUCUCGUCUAUUGAUAGAUCGGAGGUUGCAACAAUUGUAAAGGAGUUUCAAGCCAUGAAAGGGAACAGAGAAGUAAAAGUUUGCAAAGUAGAUAGAAGGGACAAUAGGUUAGCUCAUAGUCUUGCCCAGUUGGGGCGUAGAGAGUUGCGUGGUGGGGUUAUGCAAGGCUCUGUGCCAACCUGCGUGUUGAGUGAGGCCUUGCACGAUUGUACGAACUAUGUUUCUCUACUUAAUUAA